UACUUAGGGGGCAAGCGUUGUCCGGAUUUAUUGGGCGUAAAGAGCGUGUAGGCGGCCAUGCAGGUCCGUUGUGAAAACUCGAGGCUCAACCUCGAGACGCCGAUGGAAACCGCAUGGCUAGAGUCCGGAAGAGGAGAGUGGAAUUCCUGGUGUAGCGGUGAAAUGCGCAGAUAUCAGGAAGAACACCGGUGGCGAAGGCGGAUCUCUGGGCCGAUACUGACGCUGAGGAGCGAAAGCGUGGGUAGCAAACAGG
This 253-nucleotide ribosomal RNA is filed under the name uncultured prokaryote. RNAcentral's name for it is "partial 16S ribosomal RNA". It matches the Rfam family "Bacterial small subunit ribosomal RNA", at positions 524 to 776 of the family's 1533-position model. The record is from RNAcentral.